Schistosoma curassoni is the source of this 46-nucleotide non-coding RNA. The record is from Rfam. Lineage: Eukaryota; Metazoa; Platyhelminthes; Trematoda; Strigeidida; Schistosomatidae.
GCACUGCUGAGGAGUCCCACAACAGGACAAAACGUCCGUCUAGUAC